AGUGAAGCCGACAGAGCCUCGAGUGCUUGAUCACUCAUUGUAUCCUGUUAAAAGUAAAAAAUCCUGUGCAUGAAAAAAGACAUCUCUGGAGCCCGAACAAUCCAUUUACUUCUUUGUAAAAUACAUUUUAGAUUAUAAACUGAAUAUGGAUUGGGGAAGUGCUCUAGAAAGGCAAUUUUAUUUGAAACCUUGCAAAAGAGAGAAAGGAAAAAGAACUUACCAAUGAGUGGAAAUUGGGGCUAAGACACGUUUCUACAGUAACAGCGUUCUCUGGGGCACACUUCACCCCUUAUUUGUUUUCUUUCCAGCAGCUGUAGGCGACCCACAGGUGAAGUCAGAUGACAAGGCGUCUAUAGCAUCAUCUGGCCCUAUGGGUUUCUAAAGAAACAGGCACAGUGAUGGGUAACUUACGGGAAGCACUCAAGUGGAAGAAUGGAUCAUAAACCUAGCAAAUGAAGAAUGCACUUUUCCAAUUCCCUUGCUACCAAAUGAGGUGUGUUAAUGAAACAACUUAGAUCAAAGUGUAUGUUUUGAAGAGAGUGGCUACUCAUUGAGUAUUAUUUUC
Molecule: long non-coding RNA, 565 nt
Organism: Homo sapiens (human)
Lineage: Eukaryota; Metazoa; Chordata; Mammalia; Primates; Hominidae
Source: Ensembl